Long non-coding RNA from Gymnodraco acuticeps, 2703 nucleotides. RefSeq lists it as uncharacterized. NCBI's taxonomy places the organism in Eukaryota, Metazoa, Chordata, Actinopteri, Perciformes, Bathydraconidae. The transcript has 4 exons. The record is from RefSeq and is a predicted model, not a curated record.
CCUCCCACAGGGUGCGGUGUACUUUUAUAUAGAGGAAAACAAUGACUCUGCACUUUAUUCUCCUCAUUUCCUGACUGAAGGCUCACAGCUCUGCGUCGACUUACAGCCGUGAAAACAGCUCUCAACCACCAUGGCUUCAGUGGAGGUUGAAUACUGUAGCGGAUGAGGUUACUCAUACCGUUACGGGCAACUAGCCGAAGCAAUUCGGCAGGUUCCUGGAGUGAAGGAGGUGACCGGGAGGGUCGGGAGGCAGAACAGCUUUGAGAUUUCUGUGAACGGCCAGCUGAUCUACUCCAAGCUCAAGACGGGAAAAAUCCCUCCUUCGGAUGAGGUGGUGAAAUUGAUCAAGAAGUUCUUGAAAGAAUGAGGACACCGUUAAAAGCUGGAGGUUAAAGCAUUGGCUGUAUUCACACUGCAAGAUCAAUGGUUUGUUUUGUAAUGGCUACUUUCUCUCACAACUGCUUAUUUGAGCACAAAAGGAAAUUCAAACAAGAAAACAAGACAAGAAAAACAAUUCAAAAAAUAUAAUUGGGAAAAAUUCAAACAAAGACAAAUGAGUUUUACCGUCAGCCAUCAGACCAUUUAUCUUCACUGUGAAUACAGACAAGCGAUGAUAAGAGCAACUCUGAAGAUCUGGGCGCUGAUCUUUACUUCUUUUUAUGAAUGAACACAUGAAAAAUAAUGCCGUGUGUUCACGAUGCAAGUCAAGAAGCUGUUCAGCUGCCUGGAGCCUGAGGAACUGCUCUCUUCAAAAACAUCACAUGUACACUUACUCAGGAAUGGGAACAAAAUGAAACUGUUUAUCAAACCACACAUGUUACCAAUUUAAAGGAAUAUUUUUGACAUUUUGGGAAAUUUGCUCAUUUGCUUCCUUGCCAAGAGUUAGCAAAUGAGACGACUGCUACCACUUUUAUGUUUGAAUGUUAAUAUGAAGCUACGGCUAACGUUUGGUUAGCUUAUCUUAGCCUUAUGUCCCGAACCAAGGGGAUACAUCUAGGCUGGCUCCUGUCAAUCAAAGCUGCCUACCAGCACUUCUGAAGCUCACUAAUGAACAUCUGUUUUGUUUGAUCCAUGCAAAAACCAGAGUGUAAAAACAGCAAUUUGCUGUUUAAUGGGGGGGUUAUAUGCCGGACUGUUUCAUUGCCUGGCCCCCUAGCAGAGAGUUACGGGUCCAGGCAAUGAAACAGUCCGGCACACAACCUCGUGAAAUAGUGAAUUGUAAUUUCUACACUUUUGGUUUUUAUGUGGAUCAAACAAGGCACAAUAUAAGAUGUUUAGUUUUGUGAACUUUAGAGGUUCUGGUAGGCAGGUUUGUUACGUCUGAACAGCCAGUCUAGAUGUCUCCCCCUGUUUCCUGUCUUUAUGCUAAGCUAAGCGAACCAGCUGCUAGUUGUAGCCAUAUUGUUACCAUUCAGAUACAAGAGUGGUCUUAAUCUUCUCAUUUAACUCUCGGCAACAAUUUAUCAAAUAAAAUGCCAGACUUUUCAACACAUUUUUGGUUGGUCAAACAUUCAAUAUCUUUUUUUUUUUUUUUAAAUGUAAUUUUCAUUGUUGUUGAUUUUUUUAUUGAUUAGCACUUAAUCUGAAAUACUUAAUAUAUACAGUCUCUCCUCUUCACGAUGCAAGUCUAGAAGCUUUUCAGCCAGCUUGAGCCUGAGAAACUGCUCUCUUACAGAAAUAAAACAUGUCGCCUACUGAGGAAUUGAAAACAAAUGAAACUGUUUAUCAAGCCACACAUGGUACAAAGGAAUAGUUUGACAUUUUUGGAAAUAAGAUCAUUGGCUUUUUUGCCAAGAGUUAGCAAAUGAGACGACUGCUACCACUUUUAUGUUUGAAUGUUAAUAUGAAGCUACGGCUAACGUUUGGUUAGCUUAUCUUAGCCUUAUGUCCCGAACCAAGGGGAUACGUCUAGGCUGGCUCCUGUCAAUCAAAGCUGCCUACCAGCACUUCUGAAGCUCACUAAUGAACAUCUGUUUUGUUUGAUCCAUGCAAAAACCAGAGUGUAAAAACAGCAAUUUGCUAUUUAAUGGGGGGGUUAUAUGCCGGACUGUUUCAUUGCCUGGCCCCCUAGCAGAGAGUUACGGGUCCAGGCAAUGAAACAGUCCGGCACACAACCUCGUGAAAUAGUGAAUUGUAAUUUCUACACUUUUGGUUUUUAUGUGGAUCAAACAAGGCACAAUAUAAGAUGUUUAGUUUUGUGAACUUUAGAGGUUCUGGUAGGCAGGUUUGUUAUGUCUGAACAGAGCCAGUCUAGAUGUCUCCCCCUGUUUCCUGUCUUUAUGCUAAGCUAAGCGAACCAGCUGCUAGUUGUAGCCAUAUUGUUACCAUUCAGAUAAGAGAGUGGUCAUAAUCUUCUCAUUUAACUCUUGGCAAGAAUUUAUAAAUGCCAAACUAUUCUACCAUGUUUUGGUUGGUCAGACAUACAAUAUUUGUUGAUGAGCACUAAAUCUGAAAUCGUGAUGAAUACAAACUCUUCUUUUCAGAUCGAAUUUGCAAAAUAUGCCCUACUACUAAAUCUGCUAUUUCUUGUUACUGUAGCAAUUGUAUUAACGUAGCAAAAAUGACUUGACUCGACCAAAUAUUUGAACUUUUUAAAACAACUUAAAGUAUUGUUAUGCUUUUGUAAUUUAAUUUGUAAUAAAUUCAAACCAAACUAAUUCUCUGAAAUGCAAUAAAGCAUCACUGAAUGGUGACUUUUACUUA